UACAAAGCGACAUCCUGUCUCCAAAA
Molecule: non-coding RNA, 26 nt
Filed under: Mus musculus (house mouse)
Lineage: Eukaryota; Metazoa; Chordata; Mammalia; Rodentia; Muridae
Source: RNAcentral